AGGACGAACGCUGGCGGCGUGCCUAACACAUGCAAGUCGAACGGAACUAUUUGACUGACUCCUUCGGGAUGAAGAAUUUUAGUUAGUGGCGGACGGGUGAGUAACGCGUGAGUAACCUGCCUCUGAGAGGGGAAUAACGUUCUGAAAAGAACGCUAAUACCGCAUAACACAUAUUUGCCGCAUGACAGAUAUGUCAAAGAUUUUAUCGCUCGGAGAUGGACUCGCGUCCGAUUAGUUAGUUGGUGAGGUAACGGCUCACCAAGGCCGCGAUCGGUAGCCGGACUGAGAGGUUGAACGGCCACAUUGGGACUGAGACACGGCCCAGACUCCUACGGGAGGCAGCAGUGAGGAAUAUUGGGCAAUGGAGGAAACUCUGAACCCCCAGCCAUGCCGCGUGAGUGAAGAAGGUUUUCGAAUUGUAAAGCUCUUUCGGGUGUGACGAUGAUGACGGUAACACCUAAAGAAGCCCCGGCAAACUUCGUGCCAGCAGCGGC
This 494-nucleotide ribosomal RNA is filed under the name uncultured bacterium. RNAcentral's name for it is "bacterial SSU rRNA". It matches the Rfam family "Bacterial small subunit ribosomal RNA", at positions 26 to 518 of the family's 1533-position model. The record is from RNAcentral.